This 299-nucleotide unclassified non-coding RNA is filed under the name fungal sp. RNAcentral describes it as "partial internal transcribed spacer region". The stretch from base 1 to 46 matches the Rfam family "Eukaryotic small subunit ribosomal RNA", at positions 1786 to 1831 of the family's 1831-position model. The record is from RNAcentral. Lineage: Eukaryota; Fungi.
AAGUCGUAACAAGGUAUCCGUAGGUGAACCUGCGGAUGGAUCAUUCAUGUGAGGAUGCACAUGCGCACACACACACACGUGGUGCCGCUGUGCAAUCCGCCUGUCCUGUGCAAUGUUAUACAUACAUACGUACAUAUAGUGUAGUGUGCAUGCGCAUAUGGUCAUUGCGACCAGCAUGCAUGCAUGCACGCUUUUUUACACUGCAUGUGCUCGUGCAUAUACUCAUUCAUUCACUACUCUUACUGACAUUACAUACAAAAGAACCUUGAAAACUGCCAGCAAUGGAUCCCUCGGUUCUC